GUCCACGCCGUAAACGUUGGGCGCUAGGUGUGGGGAACCUUCCACGUUCUCCGUGCCGCAGCUAACGCAUUAAGCGCCCCGCCUGGGGAGUACGGCCGCAAGGCUAAAACUCAAAGGAAUUGACGGGGCCCGCACAAGCGGCGGAGCAUGCGGCUUAAUUCGACGCAACGCGAAGAACCUUACCAAGGCUUGACAUAUAGGGAAAUCUCACAGAGAUGUGAGGUCCGCAAGGGCCCUAUACAGGUGGUGCAUGGUUGUCGU
This 261-nucleotide ribosomal RNA is filed under the name uncultured bacterium. RNAcentral's name for it is "partial 16S ribosomal RNA". It matches the Rfam family "Bacterial small subunit ribosomal RNA", at positions 793 to 1055 of the family's 1533-position model. The record is from RNAcentral.